CGAAUAAAUUAUCCAGUUAUUUUAUCUUUUACCAUUAUUUUCUGAAAUUCUUUUUAAUUAUUAUAUUUGAAAAAGAAAAUGAAAUCAUUCUACUGAAUAGAGUCUAGGACGCUAACUUUAAAUACUCUUCUGGUGAGUGAAACAGUGGAGAAAAAUAGUAAGCACACUCGAAUGUGGUAAGAUACACGUUUUCAUUCCUAAUUCCAUUGAAUGUAAUUUAAGUGCUUCAAUGUUAUUCAUAUCAUUAUUGUAUUUUUGUAUGUAAUCUUAGUUACUGUAUUUAAAUUUUUCAACUGGGAUAAAAUAAAUAUAUUUUUAUACUAUUA
Leptopilina heterotoma is the source of this 326-nucleotide long non-coding RNA. RefSeq lists it as uncharacterized. NCBI's taxonomy places the organism in Eukaryota, Metazoa, Arthropoda, Insecta, Hymenoptera, Figitidae. The record is from RefSeq and is a predicted model, not a curated record. The transcript is spliced from 2 exons.